UCUGCAAUAGUCCGUUUAAAAAAUCGCUGAAGGAAGAAGAGAGAUGUCCCUGUUCCCUUGGAGAUACAGACAACUCUGGGAGCUGAACUUGGACCACCCCCUGGACAAGAAAGAAAAGAGCAUCUUACAACUGUCUACACAUAAGCAGAACUGUUCCUAACACUGUGCGCUUUCCUGCAGUCUGUCCGGUGGUGUCCAGCAUCUCCUACACAUUGGAAGACUGCACAUAGGGCUUUCCUGCAGUCUGUCCCUUGGUGUCCAGCUCCUCCUACACGUGGAAGACUGCACACAGGGCUUUCCUGCAGUCAGUCCCAAGAUGUCCACCUCCUCACACACGUGGAAGACUGCAUGCAG
Molecule: long non-coding RNA, 354 nt
Organism: Erinaceus europaeus (western European hedgehog)
Lineage: Eukaryota; Metazoa; Chordata; Mammalia; Eulipotyphla; Erinaceidae
Exons: 4
Source: RefSeq, a predicted model, not a curated record